This 437-nucleotide ribosomal RNA is filed under the name uncultured bacterium. RNAcentral describes it as "partial 16S ribosomal RNA". It matches the Rfam family "Bacterial small subunit ribosomal RNA", at positions 29 to 507 of the family's 1533-position model. The record is from RNAcentral.
AGCGAACGCUGGCGGCAGGCUUAACACAUGCAAGUCGAGCGGGCAUCCUUGUGGUGUCAGCGGCAGACGGGUGAGUAACGCGUGGGAACGUGCCCUUCGGUUCGGAAUAACUCAGGGAAACUUGAGCUAAUACCGGAUACGUGCGAGAGCAGAAAGGUUUAUCUGCCGAAGGAUCGGCCCGCGUCUGAUUAGCUAGUUGGUGAGGUUACGGCUCACCAAGGCGACGAUCAGUAGCUGGUCUGAGAGGAUGAUCAGCCACACUGGGACUGAGACACGGCCCAGACUCCUACGGGAGGCAGCAGUGGGGAAUAUUGGACAAUGGGGGCAACCCUGAUCCAGCCAUGCCGCGUGAGUGAUGACGGCCUUAGGGUUGUAAAGCUCUUUUCUCCGGGACGAUAAUGACGGUACCGAAGGAAUAAGCCCCGGCUAACUUCGUG